AGUACCCUUGGCUGUGUACAUUUGAGUAAAGAGAGCACUAUAAAAUCAAAAACCAAUGAAAUGGUUUCCAGAACACAGAACUAUUAAGCUUAAGAAAAGGACAGAAGGAACUGAAGAGAGAGGAACUGUUUUGGAGCAUCACACUUCCACCUCAGAAGAAAUAAGGAAGGAAGGAGGAGGGUGUUCCCACGGCUCUUCAACCAGGCCGGCUCUUCAGCCUACAUCCCCAUCUCAUCAAGUAAAAGGGAUUUUUCAACUGGACCAACCAGAUGGUUUAACAGUGCACUCCCACACCAUUCAACUACGCAAGGGAGAUACACUUAACAUAUGCAGUCGUAUAACACCUACUAACAUUUUCAAACAUUAAACCUUUAAAAAAGAGUUCUAAAGAAAUAGAAGCUUGAAGUAUCAUCUCUCAAGUAUAUAGACACUACUUCAUGGUGUGGUAAUAUAUGCAUAUAGAAGCUAGUAAACACCUCCAGGAGAUGCAAAAGGAAUUAGAACUGCCACAAGGUGCAAGCAAAACCUUGAGGUGAGAAAAUCGAAUUUGGACACCGUUGAGGAGACUAUUGCAGUCAUCCAAGCUCAAGAUGGUGGAGCUUCAUCCUUGAGAAUAACCAAUGGGGAUAGAUUUAAGAGACACUUAGAGUCUGCAGCCAACAGGGCUGAAUGAGCAGAGAGUUAUGAUUCAGAAGAUCAUCUAAAAUUGAACAGCUGCCACUACUGGCAAUAAGUCUACUGCCAUUUGGUAGAUAACCUUCUUAUCACACAGAAAAAUAUCAGUACAGACAAAUAGACCGCAAAGAAAAUGAGACCAUCAGCAAAGAAGAUAAAGAAGUUUGUACAAAGCAACUUUUUAUAAAUGGAUGGCUGUCAGGCAAAAAUAAAUUUCCUGUGGACAAGACCAAGAGCAAGGCAAGAGGAAAAUAAACAUGUUUAAACUA
Molecule: long non-coding RNA, 944 nt
Filed under: Homo sapiens (human)
Lineage: Eukaryota; Metazoa; Chordata; Mammalia; Primates; Hominidae
Description: long intergenic non-protein coding RNA 343
Source: RNAcentral